Clupea harengus (Atlantic herring) is the source of this 504-nucleotide long non-coding RNA. Lineage: Eukaryota; Metazoa; Chordata; Actinopteri; Clupeiformes; Clupeidae. The record is from Ensembl.
CGCACCCAGCCCCUAGCUCCUGCCCUGCCAUCUCAGGUGAACACCCAGCCCCCAGCUCCUGCCCUGCCAUCUCAGGUGAACACCCAGCCCCCAGCUCCUGCCCUGCCAUCUCAGGUGAACACCCAGCCCCCAGCUCCUGCCCUGCCAUCUCAGGUGAACACCCAGCCCCCAGCUCCGGCCCUGCCAUCUCAGGUCCCCAGAACAGACUCAGACCAGGGUGGAGAGAGAGACGGCGUGGAGAGUGUGGAUGGACAGGGAGGGAGAGAGCAAGACCCAACAGCAAAGAGACCUGGUCCCCAGAACAGACUCAGACCAGGGUGGAGAGAGAGACGGCGUGGAGAGUGUGGAUGGACAGGGAGGGAGAGAGCAAGACCCAACAGCAAAGAGACCUGGAGUGUCAAAGAGAGAGUGGUUGAAACAGCAGAAAGGCCAGUUGAACAGCUACAAGCGUGGAGACAGCCUGCGCAGCAGACCCAAAGUGAGCUACACAGAGGAAGAGGAGCC